Molecule: transfer RNA, 77 nt
Filed under: Candidatus Komeilibacteria bacterium
Lineage: Bacteria; Candidatus Komeiliibacteriota
Description: tRNA-Pro
Rfam family: tRNA
About the family: Transfer RNA (tRNA) molecules are approximately 80 nucleotides in length. Their secondary structure includes four short double-helical elements and three loops (D, anti-codon, and T loops). Further hydrogen bonds mediate the characteristic L-shaped molecular structure. tRNAs have two regions of fundamental functional importance: the anti-codon, which is responsible for specific mRNA codon recognition, and the 3' end, to which the tRNAs corresponding amino acid is attached (by aminoacyl-tRNA synthetases). tRNAs cope with the degeneracy of the genetic code in two manners: having more than one tRNA (with a specific anti-codon) for a particular amino acid; and 'wobble' base-pairing, i.e. permitting non-standard base-pairing at the 3rd anti-codon position.
Source: RNAcentral
CGGGGUAUAGCGCAGUUGGCUAGCGCGUCUGGUUUGGGACCAGAAGGUCGUCGGUUCGAAUCCGACUACCCCGACCA